CACUCUCGCAAAUGACCAACCAUGGUUUUCAAGCUUGACUUCAGGAAGGCCUUUGAUUCUGUUUCCUAGCCCGCCCUUGACAAAAUCUUGGCUGUCCGCGGCUUCUCCCAAACUUUUCGUACCUGGAUUCAAAAUAUCCUCCACACGGGCAAAACUGCCAUCCUCCUAAAUGGCAUUCCAGGCCACUGGAUACAAUGCAAGAAUGGCCUGCGACAGGGCGACCCAGCCUCACCCUACCUUUUCCUCAUCGUCGCCGAUCUGCUUCAGCAACUCAUCCUCCAAAACUCUGAACCUGCUCUUCACCACCCCAUCUUUACCCACCUGCCCCCACCAUUCUCCAAUACGCCGAUGAUAUGCUUAUCAUCGCAGCCGCCUCUCCCAUCGCCGCUGUAG
Molecule: ribosomal RNA, 393 nt
Filed under: Triticum aestivum (bread wheat)
Lineage: Eukaryota; Viridiplantae; Streptophyta; Magnoliopsida; Poales; Poaceae
Description: partial small subunit ribosomal RNA
Source: RNAcentral